Danio rerio (zebrafish) is the source of this 818-nucleotide non-coding RNA. Lineage: Eukaryota; Metazoa; Chordata; Actinopteri; Cypriniformes; Danionidae. The record is from Ensembl.
CUGCAGAUGGACCAUCAGACUCAACUGACUUCAAAGGUGGAUUACUCUCUCACACACAGCGGAUGAGUUUGCGGCUGAAAUGAUGCCAUCUGUGUUCCUCCUCUACGUGUUGUGGGCGUUGUGUCCUCUCUCUGUGGGACUGCCCCUCACCUGUCCUUCAUCUCUGAAUCUCAAUCCUCAGCAGGGAUCUGGGAAACUGUGCGCAACAUUGCAGCUGCAGCCCAAGUUUCCCUGUCCCAAUAUAAGCCUGUCAGUGAGUGACAAUGAGCAACUCAGUCCUGAAACAUGGCAUCUGGAGAGUCUGUCGGUAAAGGUGGAAAAAAACUGCAGUUUUAUGGUGAUUCAACAAGACAAGCAGAGUCAACAUUUUCCUGGAGGAUCCUAUUCAAGCAUUGCUAUAAACUCCAUCAGUACACAUGCAGAAUUUCUGUGCGUUUGCACAAAAUUUCACAUCAGAUUCAAACGUACUCCAACAGCUAAAGAUUUUCAAAAUAGACAUGUAUUGGAAUACAUUGACAAUACAGAUAACAACUUUUGGGGUAACGUUUGGAGCAAUUCGAAAAAUGUUAGAGCACGUUUACCACGCAGGCAAUCCUUCAUGACGAAAGAUGAGUUUAACAAAAUCAAGUUCACAAAGGAAUUUCCAAUUGAAAUUGAAAGUGAAAGACAUGGACUGAAAACAUUAUAUAGAAGUGACCAUAAAAUUGAUAUUUAUGAUGUCAGUAAAAUAAAGGGCCAAAUUAAAGUCACCCAAAGGAAUGAUUAUGUUGUGGCUGAUUUAGACAACAAUGAUAAGCCGAUUCACUUUGAAAAUGGUG